This 6845-nucleotide long non-coding RNA is filed under the name Ananas comosus (pineapple). RNAcentral describes it as "long non-coding RNA (ACOM_LNC038166)". Lineage: Eukaryota; Viridiplantae; Streptophyta; Magnoliopsida; Poales; Bromeliaceae. The record is from RNAcentral.
AACAGUAUAACUUUGCAACGAGUGCUUUUUCUCAUUUUAUCGAAAAAGCGCAAAUUUAAUUAUAUUGUUCUAUAAUGCCCAGAGAGUGUAAAAUUUGGAACGAAUCGAUGUCAACGCUCACAAGAACAAAAACCGGAACAACAUCAGACUACUCAGUUGCGCCAUAACAGUAUAACUUUGCAACGAGUGCUUUUUCUCAUUUUAUCGAAGAAAAAGAGUAAAACAUAAUUAUAUUGUUCUAUUAUGCCCAGAGAGUGUAAAUUUGGAACGAAUCGAUGUCAACGCUCGCAAGAACAAAAACCGAAACAACUUUAGACUACUCAGUUGCGCAAUAACAGUAUAACAUUGCAACGAGUGAUUUUUCUCAUUUUAUCGAAGAAAGCGUAAAACCUAAUUAUAUUUUUCUAUUAUGACCAGAGAGUGUAAAUUUGGAACGAAUCGAUGUCAACGCUCACAAGAACAAAAAUCGGAACAACAUUAGACUACUCAGUUGCUCCAUAACAGUAUAACUUUGCAACGAGUACUUUUUCUCAUUUUAUCGAAGAAAACGCAAAAUCUAAUUAUAUUGUUCUAUUAUGCCCAGAGAGUGUAAAUUUGGAACGAAUCGAUGUCAACGCUCACAUGAACAAAAAUCGGGACAACAUUAGACUACUGAGUUGCGCCCUAACAGUAUAAAUUUGCAACGAGACCUUUUUCUCAUUUUAUCGAAGAAAGCAUCAAACCUAAUUAUAUUGUUCUAUUAUGCCCAGACAGUGUAAUUUUGGAACGAAUCGAUGUCAACGCUCACAAGAAUAAAAACCGGAACAACAUUAGACUACUCAGUCGCGCCCUAACAGUAUAACUUUGCAACGAGUACUUUUUCUCAUUUUAUCGAACAAAGCGUCAAACCUAAUUAUAUUGAUUUAUUAUGCCCAGAGAGUGUAAAUUUAGAACGAAUCGAUGUCAACGCUCACAAGAACAAAAACCGGAACAACAAUAGACUACUUAGUUGCGCCAUAACAGUAUAACUUUGCAACGAAUGCUUUUUCUCAUUUUAUCGAAAAAGCGCAAAUUUAAUUAUAUUGUUCUAUAAUGCCCAGAGAGUGUAAAAUUUGGAACGAAUCGAUGUCAACGCUCACAAGAACAAAAACCGGAACAACAUGAGACUACUCAGUUACGCCCUAACAGUAUAAAUUUGCAACGAGCACUUUUUCUCAUUUUAUCGAAGAAAGCAUUAAACCUAAUUAUAUUGUAAUAUUAUGCCCAGAGGGUGUAAAUUUGGAACGAAUCGAUGUCAACGCUCACAAGAACAAAAACCGGAACAACAUUAGACUACUCAGUUGCGCCAUAACAGUAUAAUUUUGCAACGAGUGCUUUUCUCAUUUCAUCGAAGAAAGCGCAAAUCUAAUUAUAUUGUUCUAUUAUGCCCAGAGAGUGUAAAUUUGGAACGAAAUCGAUGUCAACGCUCACAAGAACAAAAACAGGAACAACAUUAGACUACUCAGUUGCGCCCUUACAGUAUAACUUUGCAACGAGUACUUUUUCUCAUUUUAUCGAAGAAAGCGUAAAACCUAAUUGUAUUCUUCUAUUAUGCCCAGAGAGUGUAAAUUUGGAACGAAUCGAUGUCAACGUUCACAAGAACAAAAACCGGAACAACAUUAGACUACUCAGUUGCGCCCUAACAGUAUAACUUUGCGACGAGUACUUUUUCUCAUUCUAUCGAACAAAGAGUAAAACAUAAUUAUAUUGUUCUAUUAUGCCCAGAGAGUGUAAAUUUGGAACGAAUCGAUGUCAACGCUCGCAAGAACAAAAACCGAAACAACUUUAGACUACUCAGUUGCGCAAUAACAGUAUAACAUUGCAACGAGUGAUUUUUCUCAUUUUAUCGAAGAAAGCGUAAAACCUAAUUAUAUUUUUCUAUUAUGACCAGAGAGUGUAAAUUUGGAACGAAUCGAUGUCAACGCUCACAAGAACAAAAAUCGGAACAACAUUAGACUACUCAGUUGCGCCCUAACAGUAUAACUUUGCAACGAGUACUUAUUCUCAUUUUAUCGAACAAAGCGUCAAACCUAAUUAUAUUGAUUUAUUAUGCCCAGAGAGUGUAAAUUUGGAACGAAUCAAUGUCAGCGCUCACAGGAACAAAAACCGGAACAACAAUAGACUGCUUAGUUGCGCCAUAACAGUAUAACUUUGCAACGAGUGCUUUUUCUCAUUUUAUCGAAAAAGCGCAAAUUUAAUUAUAUUGUUCUAUUCUGCCCAGAGAGUGUAAAUUUGGAACGAAUCGAUGUCAACGCUCACAAGAAAAAAAACCAGAACAACAUUAGACUACUCAGUUGCGACAUAACAGUAUAACUUUGCAACGAGUACUUUUUCUCAUUUUAUCGAAGAAAACGCAAAAUCUAAUUAUAUUGUUCUAUUAUGCCCAGAGAGUGUAAAUUUGGAACGAAUCGAUGUCAACGCUCACAUGAACAAAAAUCGGGACAACAUUAGACUACUGAGUUGCGCCCUAACAGUAUAAAUUUGCAACGAGACCUUUUUCUCAUUUUAUCGAAGAAAGCAUCAAACCUAAUUAUAUUGUUCUAUUAUGCCCAGACAGUGUAAUUUUGGAACGAAUCGAUGUCAACGCUCACAAGAAUAAAAACCGGAACAACAUUAGACUACUCAGUCGCGCCCUAACAGUAUAACUUUGCAACGAGUACUUUUUCUCAUUUUAUCGAAGAAAGCGUCAAACCUAAUUAUAUUGUUCUAUAAUGCCCAGAGAGUGUAAAUUUGGAACGAAUCGAUAUCAACACUCACAAAAAUAAAAACCGGAACAACAUUUGAGUACUCAGUUGUGCCUCUAACAGGUAUAACUUUUUGCAACCAGUACUUUAUUCUCAUUUUUUUGAAGUAAGCGGCCAAAACUAAUUUAUAUUGUAUUCUAUUUAGCCCCAGAGAGCUUGUAAAUUUCUGGAACGAAUUGAUGUCAACGCUCCACAAGAACAAAAACUGGAACAAAAUUAGGCUACUUAGUUGCGCCCUAACAGUAUAACUUUGCAACGAGUGCUUUUUCACAUUUUAUCGAAGAAAGCGUCAAACCUAAUUAUAUUGCUCUAUAAUGCCCAGAGAGUGUAAAUUUGGAACGAAUCGAUAUCAACACUCACAAAAAUAAAAACCGGAACAACAUUUGAGCACUCAGUUGUGUGCCCUUAACAGGUAUAACUUUUGCAACCAGUACUUUUUCUUCAUUUUAUCGAAAGUAAUGCGUCAAAACUAAUUUAUAUUAUGUCUCUUUUACGCCCAGAAGAGAGUAAAUCUGGAACGGAAUCGAUGUCAACGCUCACAAGAACAAAAACUGGAACAAAAUUAGGCUACUUAGUUGCGCCCUAACAGUAUAACUUUGCAACGAGUGCUUUUUCACAUUUUAUCGAAGAAAGCGUCAAACCUAAUUAUAUUGCUCUAUAAUGCCCAGAGAGUGUAAAUUUGGAACGAAUCGAUAUCAACACUCACAAAAAUAAAAACCGGAACAACAUUUGAGUACUCAGUUGCGCCUUAACAGUAUAACUUUGCAACCAGUACUUUUUCUCAUUUUAUCGAAGUAAGCGUCAAACCUAAUUAUAUUAUUCUAUUAUGCCCAGAGAGUGUAAAUUUGGAACGAUUCGAUGUCAACGCUCACAAGAACAAAAACCGGAACAACAUUAGACUCUUCAGUUGCACCCUAACAGUAUAACUUUGCAACGCGUACUUUUUCUCGUUUUAUCGAAGAAAGCGUAAAAUCUAAUUAUAUUGUUGUAUUAUGCCCAGAUAGUGUAAAUUUGGAACGAAUCGAUGUCAACGCUCACAAGAACAAAAACCGGAACAACAUUAGAGCACUCAGUUCCGCCAUAACAGUAUAACUUUGCAACGAGUGCUUUUUUUCAUUUUAUCGAAGAAAGCGUAAAACCUAGUUAUAUUAUUCUAUUAUGCCCAGAGAGUGUAAAUUUGGAACGAAUCGAUUUCAACGCUCACAAGAACAAAAACCGGAACAACAUUAGACUACUCAGUUGCGCCCUAACAGUAUAACUUUGCAACGAGUACUUUUUCUCAUUUAUCGAAGAAAGCGUCAAACCUAAUUAUAUUGUUCUAUCUUGCCCAGAGAGUGUAAAUUUGGAACGAAUCGAUGUCAAAGCUCACAAGAACAAAAAUCGGAUCAAUAUUAGACUACUCAGUUGCGCCCUAACAGUAUAACUUUGCAACGAGUGCUUUUUCUCAUUUUAUCGAAGAAAGCGUAAAUCUAAUUAUAUUGUUCUAUUAUACCUAGAGAGUGUAAAAUUGGAACGAACUGAUGUGAGCGCUCACAAGAACAAAAACCGGAUCAAUAUUAGACUACUCAGUUCCGCCCUAACAGUAUAACUUUGCAACGAGUACUUUUUCUCAUUUAUCGAAGAAAGCGUCAAACCUAAUUAUAUUGUUCUAUUAUGCCCAGAGAGUGUAAAUUUGGAACGAAUCGAUUUUAAAGCUCACAAGAACAAAAACCGGAACAAUAUUAGACAACUCAGUUGCGCCCGAACAGUAUAACUUUGCAACGAGUGCUUUUUCUCAUUUUAUCGAAGAAAGCGUCAAACCUCAUUAUAUUGUUCUAUUAUGCCGAGAGAGUGUAAAUUUGGAACGAAUCGAUGUCAACGCUCACAAGAACAAAAACCGGAACAACAUUAGACUCUUCAGUUGCACCCUAACAGUAUAACUUUGCAACGCGUACUUUUUCUCGUUUUAUCGAAGAAAGCGUAAAAUCUAAUUAUAUUGUUGUAUUAUGCCCAGAUAGUGUAAAUUUGGAACGAAUCGAUGUCAACGCUCACAAGAACAAAAACCGGAACAACAUUAGAGCACUCAGUUCCGCCAUAACAGUAUAACUUUGCAACGAGUGCUUUUUUUCAUUUUAUCGAAGAAAGCGUAAAACCUAGUUAUAUUAUUCUAUUAUGCCCAGAGAGUGUAAAUUUGGAACGAAUCGAUUUCAACGCUCACAAGAACAAAAACCGGAACAACAUUAGACUACUCAGUUGCGCCCUAACAGUAUAACUUUGCAACGAGUACUUUUUCUCAUUUUAUCGAAGAAAGCGUAAAAUCUAAUUAUAUUGUUCUAUUAUUCCCAGAUAGUGUAAAUUUGGAACGAAUUGAUGUCAACGCUCACAAGAACAAAAACCGGAACAACUUUAGACUACUCAGUUGCGCCUAACAGUAUAACUUUGCAACGAGUACUUUUUCUCAUUUUAUCGAAGAAAGCGUCAAAACUAAUUAUAUUGUUCUAUUACGCCCAGAGAGUGUAAAUUUGGAACGAAUUGAUGUCAACGCUCACAAGAACAAAAACUGGAACAAAAUUAGGCUACUUAGUUGCGCCCUAACAGUAUAACUUUGCAACGAGUGCUUUUUCACAUUUUAUCGAAGAAAGCGUCAAACCUAAUUAUAUUGCUCUAUAAUGCCCAGAGAGUGUAAAUUUGGAACGAAUCGAUAUCAACACUCACAAAAAUAAAAACCGGAACAACAUUUGAGUACUCAGUUGCGCCUUAACAGUAUAACUUUGCAACCAGUACUUUUUCUCAUUUUAUCGAAGUAAGCGUCAAACCUAAUUAUAUUAUUCUAUUAUGCCCAGAGAGUGUAAAUCUGGAACGAAUCGAUGUCAACGCUCACAAGAACAAAAACCGGAACAACAUUAGACUACUCAGUUGCGCCAUAACAAUAUAACUUUGCAACGAGUACUUUUUCUUAUUUUAUCGAAGAAAGCGUAAAUCCUAAUUAUAUUAUUCUAUUAUGCCCAGAGAGAGUAAAUUUAGAACCAAUCGAUGUCAACGCUCACAAGAACAAAAAUCGGAACAACAAUAGACUACUCAGUUGCACCCUAACAGUAUAACUUUACAACGAGUGCUUUUUCUCAUUUUAUCGAAGAAGGCGUCAAACCUAAUUAUAUUGUUCUAUUAUUCCGAGAAAGUGUAAAUUUGGAACGAAUCGAUGUCAAAGCUCACAAGAACAAAAACCGGAACAAUAUUGGACUACUCAGUUGCGCCCUAACAGUAUAACUUUGCAACGAGUGCUUUUUCCCAUUUUAUCGAAGAAAGCGUAAAUGCUAAUUAUAUUGUUCUAUUAUGCCCAGAGAGUGUAAAUUUGGAACGAACCGAUGUCAGCGCUCACAAGAACAAAAACCGGAACAACAUUAGACUAAUCAGUUGCGCCCGAACAGUAUAAUUUUGCAACGAGUGAUUUUUCUCAUUUUAUCGAAGAAAGCGUCAAACCUAAUUAUAUUGUUCUAUUAUGCCCAGAGAGUGUAAAUUUGGAACGAAUCGAUGUCAACGCUCACAUGAACAAAAAUCGGGACAACAUUAGACUACUGAGUUGCGCCCUAACAGUAUAAAUUUGCAACGAGACCUUUUUCUCAUUUUAUCGAAGAAAGCAUCAAACCUAAUUAUAUUGUUCUAUUAUGCCCAGACAGUGUAAUUUUGGAACGAAUCGAUGUCAACGCUCACAAGAAUAAAAACCGGAACAACAUUAGACUACUCAGUCGCGCCCUAACAGUAUAACUUUGCAACGAGUACUUUUUCUCAUUUUAUCGAAGAAAGCGUCAAACCUAAUUAUAUUGUCUAUUAUGACCAGAGAGUGUAAAUUUGGAACGAAUCGAUGUCAACGCUCACAAGAACAAAAACCGGAAGAAAAUUAGACCACUUAGUUGCGCCCUAACAGUAUAACUUUGCAACGAGUACUUUUUCUCAUUUUAUCGAAUAAAGCGUAAAACCUAAUUAUAUUGUUCUAUUAUGCCCAGAGAGUGUAAAUUUGGAACGAAUCGAUGUCAACGCUCACAAGAACAAAAACCGGAAUAACUUUAGACUACUCAGUUGCGCCAUAACAAUAUAACUUUGCAA